This 418-nucleotide long non-coding RNA is filed under the name Salmo salar (Atlantic salmon). RNAcentral describes it as "lncRNA (ENSSSAG00000097515.1, ENSSSAG00000106436.1)". The record is from RNAcentral. Lineage: Eukaryota; Metazoa; Chordata; Actinopteri; Salmoniformes; Salmonidae.
GUAUUGUUGGAGUCAGUGGGAUGUUGAUAUCAGGUAGUGUAGGAGACAGUGGGAUGUUGAUGUUGAUAUCAGGUAGUGUAGGAGUCAGUGGGAUACCAUGUUGAUAUCAGGUAGUGUAGGAGUCAGUGGGAUGUUGAUAUCAGGUAGUGUAGGAGUCAGUGGGAUGUUGAUAUCAGGUGAUAUAGGAGUCAGUGGGAUGUUGAUAUCAGGUAGUGUAGGAGUCAGUGGGAUGUUGAUAUCAGGUAGUGUAGGAGGCAGUGAGAUGUUGAUGUCAGGUAGUGUAGGAGUCAGUGAGAUGUUGAUAUCAGGUAGUGUAGGAGUCAGUGGGAUGUUGAUGUUGAUAUCAGGUAGUGCAGGAGUCAGUGGGAUGUUGAUGUUGAUAUCAGGUAGUGUUGGAGUCAGUGAGAUGUUGAUAUCA